RNAcentral lists this ribosomal RNA (492 nucleotides) under uncultured bacterium. RNAcentral describes it as "partial 16S ribosomal RNA". It matches the Rfam family "Bacterial small subunit ribosomal RNA", at positions 29 to 507 of the family's 1533-position model. The record is from RNAcentral.
AGUGAACGCUGGCGGUAGGCCUAACACAUGCAAGUCGAACGGCGGCACAGUAAGAGCUUGCUCUUACGGGUGGCGAGUGGCGGACGGGUGAGGAAUACAUCGGAAUCUACUUUUUCGUGGAGGAUAACGUAGGGUAACUUACGCUAAUACCGCAUACGACCUACGGGUGAAAGCAGGGGAUCUUCGGACCUUGCGCGAUUGAAUGAGCCGAUGUCGGAUUAGCUAGUUGGCGGGGUAAAGGCCCACCAAGGCGACGAUCCGUAGCUGGUCUGAGAGGAUGAUCAGCCACACUGGAACUGAGACACGGUCCAGACUCCUACGGGAGGCAGCAGUGGGGAAUAUUGGACAAUGGGCGCAAGCCUGAUCCAGCCAUACCGCGUGGGUGAAGAAGGCCUUCGGGUUGUAAAGCCCUUUUGUUGGGAAAGAAAAGCAGCAGGUUAAUACCCCGCUGUUCUGACGGUACCCAAAGAAUAAGCACCGGCUAACUUCGUG